RNAcentral lists this long non-coding RNA (839 nucleotides) under Homo sapiens (human). RNAcentral's name for it is "HSALNT0016070". The record is from RNAcentral. Lineage: Eukaryota; Metazoa; Chordata; Mammalia; Primates; Hominidae.
CGCACCUAGGGGUAGGUCUCUGAACUGGCCCCCCCGGGGCGUAUCUGUCUCUUUUGGUCGAGAUUGCAGAGGUGAAAUAAACUCCAGUCUCCCACAGCACUCCCAGGCUUAUUAGGAAGAGGAAAUUCCCGCCUAAUAAAUUUUGGUCAGACCGGUUGAUCUCAAAACGCUGUCUCCUGAUAAGAUGUUAUCAAUGACAAUGGUGCCUGAAACUUCAUUAGCAAUUUUAAUUUUGCCUCCAUCCUGUGGUCCUGUGAUCUCGCCCUGCCUCCACUUGCCUUGUGAUAUUCUAUUACCCUGUUAAGUACUUGAUGUCUGUCACCCACACCUAUUCGUAUACUCCCUCCCCUUUUGAAACUCCCUGAUAAAAACUUGCUGGUUUUUGUGGCUUGUGGGGCAUCACGGAUCCUACCAACGUGUGAUGUCUCCCCCGGAUGCCCAGCUUUAAAAUUUCUCUCUUUUGUACUCUGUCCCUUUAUUUCUCAAGCCAGCCGACGCUUAGGAAAAUAGAAAUGAACCUACGUGAUUAUUGGGGCAGGUCCCCCGAUAGUUAUCACCUCAAAAGAAUAGGUAAAAUAUAUAUUUUUUUCCUUUGGAGACAGAGUCUCACUCUGUCCUCCAGGCUGGAGUACAGUGGUGCAGUCUCGGCUCACUGCAACUUCUGUCUCCUAGGUUCAAGGUUCAAGCGAUUCUCCUGUCUCAGCCCCCCAAGUAGCUGGGAUUACAGGCGCCCGCCACCACGCCUGGCUAAUUUUUGUAUUUUUUUUCAUAAAGAUGGGGUUUGGCUAUGUUGACCAGACUACCAAAGUUCACUCAAAAAGAAACAGAUGGCCAGGCGC